CCUACGGGGUGCUGCAGUGGGGAAUAUUGGACAAUGGGCGAAACCCUGAUCCAGCCAUGCCGCGUGUGUGAAGAAGGCCUUCGGGUUGUAAAGCACUUUCAGUGGGGAAGAAAGCCUUGGGGCUAAUACCCUCGAGGAAGGACAUCACCCACAGAAGAAGCACCGGCUAACUCCGUGCCAGCAGCCGCGGUAAUACGGAGGGUGCGAGCGUUAAUCGGAAUUACUGGGCGUAAAGCGCGCGUAGGCGGUCUGAUAAGCCGGUUGUGAAAGCCCCGGGCUCAACCUGGGAACGGCAUCCGGAACUGUCAGGCUAGAGUGCAGGAGAGGAAGGUAGAAUUCCCGGUGUAGCGGUGAAAUGCGUAGAGAUCGGGAGGAAUACCAGUGGCGAAGGCGGCCUUCUGGACUGACACUGACGCUGAGGUGCGAAAGCGUGGGUAGCAAACAGGAUUAGAUACCCGAGUAGUC
RNAcentral lists this ribosomal RNA (465 nucleotides) under Vreelandella stevensii. Its description in RNAcentral is "partial 16S ribosomal RNA". It matches the Rfam family "Bacterial small subunit ribosomal RNA", at positions 338 to 795 of the family's 1533-position model. Lineage: Bacteria; Pseudomonadati; Pseudomonadota; Gammaproteobacteria; Oceanospirillales; Halomonadaceae. The record is from RNAcentral.